UGGUGUGGACACUAAUGGACAAUCAGCUAAAACAAACAUCAUUGUUAUUUGUAGACAAUGAGGAUUUAGUUUGAAAACAAAUUUGUUUAUGACGUCACAUUAGAGGAUUGUUUCGGCGACAAUGCGAUUUAUGAUGAUAAGCAAGAAACGGACAGAAACAGAAGAAAGGAGAUCAAUUAUAGAACGCGAGACGAUUUAUAUUCGAGAAAAAGCGAAAAGUGACGUCAGAAUUGAAGAAACUUCGACAAAAGACCCUGAUGCAUAUCGUCCAAACUUUAACUUAAAAGAAGCUUUCAAACUAAAACCCCCUGCUCUGACGUCACCAACUGAUGACGUCAUCGCAGCGUUAAAAGUGGCGAUGGAUAUAAAUGGAGAGUUGUCAUUGGUUGAAAUACACAAGUCAAUAGAAACCUCAUUGAACGGGCUGAAGCAGCAACAUGCAGAGGUACAAGAAGCCGUCUGUGACGUCACACUACUCAAGCGAAUCGUCGAUGGUGUUCUCAAGCCCGUCAGCGACAUCGUGCGGCAACCACGGAUCGAUGGCGUAGAGUCGCUACGAUUAUUACGUCAUAAUCAUAAACAAGUGGUUCGAAAAUCUCUACUCGGGGGAAUCACCGAUCGGUUGGAUGACGUCACUCUAGGGGAAUCCCCUGUACCCUCUGUGACAUCACAAGCCGAUAACAAUCGACCAGCACGAACACGAUCUUGCAUAUUACCCCCUGUAGCGAAACCCCCCACCCCAACCCGAAGAUUCCGCGCCCCCGCCACGUCAGGGGUAAGGUACCCCCCUAUCAUGAACGCGUCGCUAACCAGGAACCCACAGAAAGGGAGAAUCCCUUCACCCCCUAAGUUACCCUCCCCACAACAAAGGAACAAUCUCACCAACAAUGGACACGCUGAAUUACACGACGAACUACGUCAUUACAUUGAUGACGUAGACACACAUACGUGUACAAUGCAAUCGUUGUUUACGUCAUACACGCAGAGAGUGUUGGUUCCAUUGCAAACGUUUUGUAAACAACAUCGAACAAGCAAAUGCCGAUCAAAAGAUCCCAAGGAACAAACAACCAACGAAGCGACAAUCAACGACCAACUCCAUCGGUGCGAGUUCGAAAUUGUUCAAACAAUGAACAACAUCAGGUUGCUUUUGUGGCCACCGCUAGACGGCGUACCAGUGCACACGUUCGCCGACCAUGGAUAUUCGAAACAGAUCGCGAACGAACUCGAUUGUGAAAGAUUCCCCGUAGUGCGCCUCCUACCGGAUGUUUUACAGAAGUUCACCGAGGUACUCACACGCGCCACCACGUGGCUGAAGAAAGACAUGGUGUACACGCAGAACGCGAAAGCCGCUUUGCAUCGAGCGCAUCGGAGGUAUCUUAAGACGGAACGAGAUUGGCAAGAGGCUCGAAGCCAACAUCGAAAACUAUUGGCUGACUGGGAUCACGUGAGUGCCGAGGUCCAAUCAAACACCGCCCGCUUGGAGACACUAGAGCAUGACAUAGAAAUGUUAAAAGACGACCUUGAGAAGUCACAUGACCAGCGUCGAACUUUGGAGACGAAGCUUCGAACGAACGAUGACGACCUUGAACACUUGAGGGCGCGACAUCGAGCGUUUCGACGUCGAAUAAUCGCGCUUACAUCGAAAAUAGAAGCACGUGAGCGGAAUUACGCCUUCAUGGAGUCACGUGUUCGUUCCAAACGAGCUGACCAGGAAGCGAUCCAGGAGAAACUGAGAAUUAGCGAAGAGUUUACGAAUUCACGGCAACUGAUGAUGCAGCAGUUGUUUAACAGCAGAGCUGCUUGGAGCAGGAGGUGGGCGGGUUGGGUAGCGAAUAUUAAAUUGAAAAAAAGAAUGGAAUUAAUCAUACAUUCUGACGUCACACAUUAUAACAAUACCCAUCCAGAUAUCAAGAGAAGACGGACGCUGAGGUUCUAAAGACUCGGUUCCAGAUGGUGAAACUUCGAAUCCCACUCCCGGCAGUUCGGGAGAAAACUUUCAUUUUGAAAUCGAGGAUGGAAAAUUUGCAAGAAGCUCUCUCAUUGGUCGACGCGAGACUCAGUGAGGAUAAGAUUCAUUGGUCGGCUCUCUGCUGCCAUCUAACGUGGCCCGAUCACUUUCUUCUAACAUUACCCAACAUGGCGUCACAACUACCCAAUAUGACGUCACAAUGCGAGCUGAGCGACAGUGACGAUUCGUCAUCAUCUACGUCAUCAACGUCAGCGGGAAAACCCCAGAUAUGGAAACCAUUCACCCGUAUCGUUGACCACGUGACCUCCCGUUACCCUAACAACGAAGGAAAACAACGGUCGUUCAUGUUGAGGUUGUGGGUUGCGCAGAACGGCCAACGCGCAACUAUUGAGAAACUACUACAUGGACUUCGGGCAUCAAGAAAUCAUGACGUAGCUGCUUACGUAGAACGAUGCGUGCGGUGACGUCAUAUUGACGUCACUCGGGGUUUAUUGAGCCAUAACCAGUUUCAUUAUGACGUACUAUAGUCUUCCAUAUACUGUGUGAAGGUGUUUGUGACGUCAUUUAUUACGUCAUCAUUCAUAUUUUUGAAACGAUGGUUGCGAACAAUGCUGCUUGUUACGUCACAAUACUGCCCUAUUACGCAAUAUCCUCUAUAUUUUCAAUCAUGAUUAACAAACGAAGUCAACUUGACUUAAAUAACUUAGUUGUAGUUUAAUUGACAACUUUCUAAAUAUGGAAAUGUUUCAAACCAAGUGUUACGUCAUUGAUCGCUUUGUGUUCGUAAUAAACAAACUAUUAUGCA
Non-coding RNA from Ciona intestinalis (vase tunicate), 2774 nucleotides. Lineage: Eukaryota; Metazoa; Chordata; Ascidiacea; Phlebobranchia; Cionidae. The record is from RefSeq and is a predicted model, not a curated record.